ACAGGAGAAAGGUCUAUCGAUCCGAUGCCCGCCUAUCUUUGGCGGGAAAAUCGGAUAGGAAAGUCCAGACCACACAAGGCAGGGUGGGCGCUGUAAGGCGUUCGUGGCAACACCGAGUGAUCCGAUGUAUUUCGGAUAUCUUAAAGGAAUUAACCUUUAGGAAGAGCCGCAGAGACGUAGUCCCGACUUUAUGUCGGGGGUGAAACGUGGCAAUCCUCCCCGUGGCAACUCCCGGAUGGCACAAUGAGGCCGCCUGCUUAGUGCCGAAGACGGAGGCAAAGACAGAUGAUAGACAGCCCAAUUUAAUUGGGGGAACAGAAUCUGGCUUACUCUUCUCCUGCCAAG
Molecule: non-coding RNA, 345 nt
Filed under: candidate division CPR3 bacterium 4484_211
Lineage: Bacteria; candidate division CPR3
Source: RNAcentral